This 253-nucleotide ribosomal RNA is filed under the name uncultured bacterium. RNAcentral's name for it is "partial 16S ribosomal RNA". It matches the Rfam family "Bacterial small subunit ribosomal RNA", at positions 524 to 776 of the family's 1533-position model. The record is from RNAcentral.
UACAGAGGUGGCAAGCGUUGUUCGGAAUUACUGGGCGUAAAGGGCGCGUAGGCGGUCUUGCAAGUCCCGUGUGAAAUCCCUCGGCUCAACUGAGGAACUGCACGGGAAACUGCUUGGCUUGAGUUCGGGAGAGGGAAGCGGAAUUCCGGGUGUAGCGGUGAAAUGCGUAGAUAUCUGGAGGAAUACCGGUGGCGAAGGCGGCAUCCUGGACCAUUACUGACGCUGAGGCGCGAAAGCUAGGGGAGCAAACGGG